AUGUCAAAACUGAGCCAGAUCGAGUUCAAAUAUCCAAAACCAUUUCAGAAAUUUAACAUAAAAUCGAACCAGACCUUGUUGUACAUGACAUUACCAAACCGUGCCAAAACCGGUAUCAGUUCAAGAAAAAGAGGAAAAUUACAUAAACUAAUUCACACGUGCAGACUUGCUACAUCAAAGAUAUCAGGGAAAAUUCACAGCAUAACCAAAAUUUUGAAAACUGCUAACUAA
Vicia faba (fava bean) is the source of this 231-nucleotide non-coding RNA. NCBI's taxonomy places the organism in Eukaryota, Viridiplantae, Streptophyta, Magnoliopsida, Fabales, Fabaceae. The record is from the annotation of a GenBank genome assembly.